UGCUGGAGCGCGCACACCCCGGAGUGAAAAAUAUAGUAACAGGAAAGAUUUAGUUCUUAAAAUAAGUCAGCAGCCCAGUGAAGCCAACACUGCCGUGGCAGGUAUGUUUUCUUGCUCGAGCUGAUGGAGAAGGGCAUUAACUGCCCACAGGCAUCCGGCGACAGAUCAAACGAUAAAAAUACACAAUUAAAUGAAGGCACGCAGCAGGCCUGGCCUCAGGAGACCAUGAGAGCCUAUGGGCUCAGGGGUCUGGGGUCUGCACCGAUGCUCCUCUGGGAUGACUGUCGUGUAAAUGCGCAGUAGUCACGUGGACACCCUCUUCGUUGUCUGGUUGGCUCUUUGCGAAGGAGGAGGGCCCUGGUCCCAAAGGAACAGCCACCUUUCCUGGCCCCAGUGUUCACCUGUUGGGACGGGGCUCACCUUUGUUACCUAGGACUGUCAGAGUCAGAGAUCACCUUGCGUUUUCAUCUGUUGCUCAAGGCUUGAGCCUCCUGAAGCAGGAUCUCUGAGCUUUGGGAUGCAAAGGACAUUUGUCAACUCAGCCUGUAACCUAGCAGGCCGUUUGGUGUCAUCGGUUUCAGAGGUAAGAAGAUAAAGAGCUAGAGACAGGUGAUUUAUGCUCUUAGCCCAGCAAGCAAUUUGUUGAAGAGAUGCCACGUUUCU
Molecule: long non-coding RNA, 663 nt
Organism: Hyaena hyaena (striped hyena)
Lineage: Eukaryota; Metazoa; Chordata; Mammalia; Carnivora; Hyaenidae
Exons: 3
Source: RefSeq, a predicted model, not a curated record